Molecule: ribosomal RNA, 174 nt
Filed under: uncultured bacterium
Lineage: Bacteria
Description: partial 16S ribosomal RNA
Rfam family: Bacterial small subunit ribosomal RNA
Source: RNAcentral
CCGGGCUCAACCUGGGAAGGGGGCUUGGGACUGCAAAGCUGGAGUGCGGCAGAGGGGGAUGGAAGUCCGCGUGUAGCAGUGAAAUGCGUAGAUAUGCGGAGGAACACCGAUGGCGAAGGCAAUCCCCUGGGCCUGCACUGACGCUCAUGCACGAAAGCGUGGGGAGCAAACAGG